GAAUCUGAAGUUCCAGUUCCAGCAAUGACCAGAGUCAAGGACAGCUCCUUUCAAUUAGCCGACUGAGCCCUUCUCGAAGGUAUGACAAAUUUACCUCCAUCUCCUCACAGGACGACUCGACUACUGAGAAAUGGCAAUUUCCUGCGACUGUGACUGAGUCCGCACACAUGUGCUUCUGAGUGCGACUUCUCGACAUGUCCUGGAGUCUGGACCUCUCGUCCUGUUUUCCGGCUGCCUCCUGGCCGCAAAAUUGGUAAUUUUCUAGUACAUUUAUUUCCACAUGUCAGGCCAGUCAAGUUGGUAACUCCAGACCGCAUCUUCAUGUUGAUGGACAUGUGAGUGGGCCUCGAUGAGCUGGGACAGUGGUAGGCUUACGAACCGGAUGCCGGAAUUGUUGCAGGCUUUUAAGAUUGGCAGAUUGGGUCAGCCUUGGUUGAGUGUCCUCUCGAACCAUGUGAAAAUGGGUCUCUAAAUAUGCCUUUGGUCUGGCCUAAUGCCCCGGCAUUAAUUCUCGAGUAGCGGAGAACUUCAUUAUUGAUUGGCUGGCAGAAGGGUUUUUUUUAUGGGGGGAGGGGCUCUCUGACUCAUCUACUUAGUUAUACGGGCACAAAUAGUUCGGCGCAAGCUUUUAAUUCACUU
Drosophila erecta is the source of this 639-nucleotide long non-coding RNA. RefSeq lists it as uncharacterized. The transcript has 3 exons. The record is from RefSeq and is a predicted model, not a curated record. Lineage: Eukaryota; Metazoa; Arthropoda; Insecta; Diptera; Drosophilidae.